GACGAACGCUGGCGGCGUGCUUAACACAUGCAAGUCGAGCGGUAAGGCCCUUUCGGGGGUACGACGAGCGGCGAACGGGCGAGUAACACGUGGGUGACCUGCCCUCAGCUCUGGGAUAAGCCUGGGAAACUGGGUCUAAUACUGGAUAUGACUCCACGGUGCAUGUCGUGGGGUGGAAAGCCUUGUGCGGCUGAGGAUGGGCCCGCGGCCUAUCAGCUUGUUGGUGGGGUGAGGCCUACCAAGGCGACGACGGGUAGCCGGCCUGAGAGGGCGACCGGCCACACUGGGACUGAGACACGGCCCAGACUCCUACGGGAGGCAGCAGUGGGGAAUAUUGCGCAAUGGGCGAAAGCCUGACGCAGCAACGCCGCGUGAGUGAUGAAGGCC
This 387-nucleotide ribosomal RNA is filed under the name uncultured bacterium. Its description in RNAcentral is "bacterial SSU rRNA". It matches the Rfam family "Bacterial small subunit ribosomal RNA", at positions 28 to 416 of the family's 1533-position model. The record is from RNAcentral.